RNAcentral lists this transfer RNA (86 nucleotides) under Orientia tsutsugamushi. Its description in RNAcentral is "tRNA-Leu". It matches the Rfam family "tRNA". From Rfam's summary of the family: Transfer RNA (tRNA) molecules are approximately 80 nucleotides in length. Lineage: Bacteria; Pseudomonadati; Pseudomonadota; Alphaproteobacteria; Rickettsiales; Rickettsiaceae. The record is from RNAcentral. RNAcentral also lists the same sequence under 10 other names.
GCCCGUGUGAUGGAAUGGUAGACAUAACGGACUUAAAAUCCGUGGGACAUUAGUCCUUGCCGGUUCAAGUCCGGCCAUGGGUACCA